AUAGUGCAAUACAUGGUAAAGAUAAAAAUCAUCUUCUGAAAUGAGAAUUAUGCUGUUCUGGUUUUUAAUAGUUACAAAGACCACCUAGGAUUUCUCAAGGUUUCCCUGUGCACAUGGAUUACUGCAAUCAUUGGAGUAUACACCUAAGUAAGGAAAAAAAAAAGCUGGUUUCCAUGCCAGCGUGGUUCUUGUAUCAUAAGAAAGGAGAAGGGAGGAAACUCUUACCCCAUGAAGCCACAGUUUUGUCGAGAAAAGGAAGCUGUUCUUCUGCUCCCCAUGAAAAAUGCAAUGAAGCACCAACAGGUGGAGACUGGAGGAUCAGGAAUGCACAGUGAAGCCAACACCACAAAGUACUAGAGUGCUGGACAUAAAUAUUCAAGCCCUGAGAUUCCUCCAAGAAGUCUCGAAAAGGCUCCAUUUAUUACACAGUUCACAUGACUCAACACCGAGGGGAAGCUGCCCAGCUCUGUGGCUCAUUUAGUACUACAUAACCUAAGGCAUUUUUGGACAAGUCAUCUUCUUGGUCGGCAUACAUACAGAUGUCUGAAGCUCAGCUCCCUGACUGCAAGGGUUAAUGAACAGCAGGAACUGAGAAAUUACAGGCAAAAAGAUGCAAACCAUGUGUAAUUGCAUCCAUAAAAUGCAAACAGGCAAUGUUUGAUUCACCAGAAAGUCUCCCAGCUUCAAAUGAACCAUCAACAUCUUCUGAAUAAAAUUUGAACUUGCAGAGCAGGAGUAGACCAGUCUGGCAACACUGGUUCUGAUUCUGCUCUGGGAGGUUUAAAGCCUAUCACCAGAUUACAG
Molecule: long non-coding RNA, 804 nt
Organism: Malurus melanocephalus (red-backed fairy wren)
Lineage: Eukaryota; Metazoa; Chordata; Aves; Passeriformes; Maluridae
Exons: 3
Source: RefSeq, a predicted model, not a curated record